This 351-nucleotide ribosomal RNA is filed under the name uncultured bacterium. RNAcentral's name for it is "bacterial SSU rRNA". It matches the Rfam family "Bacterial small subunit ribosomal RNA", at positions 71 to 422 of the family's 1533-position model. The record is from RNAcentral.
GUCUUGGGUUCGCCUGGGGCCAUGAGUGGCGCACGGGUGAGUAGCGCGUGGGAACCUGCCCUGUUGUGGGGGAUAACCGAGGGAAACCUCGGCUAAUACCGCAUAAGCCGGCGCUCUUGAGAGAGGGUGCCGGGAAAGAUUUAUCGCGACAGGAGGGGCCCGCGUCGGAUUAGCUUGUUGGUGGGGUAACGGCCUACCAAGGCAAUGAUCCGUAGCUGGUCUGAGAGGAUGAUCAGCCACACUGGGACUGAGACACGGCCCAGACUCCUACGGGAGGCAGCAGUGGGGAAUAUUGGACAAUGGGCGCAAGCCUGAUCCAGCAAUGCCGCGUGAGUGAGGAAGGCCUUAGGG